This 1002-nucleotide ribosomal RNA is filed under the name Triticum aestivum (bread wheat). RNAcentral describes it as "partial small subunit ribosomal RNA". Lineage: Eukaryota; Viridiplantae; Streptophyta; Magnoliopsida; Poales; Poaceae. The record is from RNAcentral.
AUGAAUUGCCUCAGUUGGAACUGCCGGGGAGGGGGGAACACCCGGACAGUUCGUGAGCUUGCGACGAUUUGUCGGUCACGUUCCCCCACUUUUGUAUUUUUAUGUGAGACUAGACAGAAGGAAGAGAAGAUGAGGAGAUUUAGAAACAGAUUGGGUCUCAAAGGGUUUUGUGGUGUUGAUAGUGAUGGUAUGAGUGGUGGCUUGGCAUUAUAUUGGCAUGAGAAUUGUGUCAUGGAGAUCGUGAAUAAAGAUGAGAGACACAUUGAUGCACUUAUCCGAAUGCAGGUAGAAGCAGUACAAUGGCGAGCUACAUUUGUCUAUGGAGAACCUCGAGUUGAGAACAGACAUAUCAUGUGGGCAAAACUACAGAAUCUGAAAACUGUAAGCAACCUCCCAUGGUUAGUUUUGGGUGAUUUCAAUGAAGCAAUGUGGAACUUUGAGCAUAUCUCAGCGACACCGAGGGCGGAGUCACAAAUGGUGGCCUUUCGGGAUACCUUGGAAAUUUGUGAGCUGGUGGAUUUGGGCUUCAGGGGAGUACCUUUCUCUUAUGACAACAAGAGGAGUGGUUCUGCUAGCGUUAAGGUACGUCUGGAUAGAGCCAUGGCGACGAAUGCAUGGCGUAACUUGUUUGCGUUUGCUGAAGUGGAGCACAUCCCAUCGCCUUGUUCCGAUCAUGUGAUGCUUCUGUUGAAGGGCGAGGCAGACCCAGGACCUGUUGGGAGGAAGUGCAGGCGCUAUGAGAUUUUCUGGGAAAGAGAUUCGGCACUCCCAAAGGUGAUAAAAGAAGCCUGGGCUGCCGUUGGGGAGGUCCGAAAUUUGACACAGUUAAAGGACGCUCUCACAAAAACCAUGAGCUCGCUGGGAUCAUGGGGUAGGAAAUUUGGCAAUGUGACGAGGCAGUUGGCAAAAUCCCGGACUCAGCUAGAAGAGCUCAUGAACAUGAAUGCUGAUCGGGAAGAGAUUAGGAUACUGACUGACAAAAUGAAUGAACUGUUGUAUUAG